Molecule: long non-coding RNA, 346 nt
Organism: Diabrotica virgifera virgifera (western corn rootworm)
Lineage: Eukaryota; Metazoa; Arthropoda; Insecta; Coleoptera; Chrysomelidae
Exons: 2
Source: RefSeq, a predicted model, not a curated record
CUUGUUCUAUGCCAUAGAUAAACUCCGUCCUGUGGAAAUGUGAUGUGAUUCUACAUAUUUGACAGAUUUAACUAACCUAUAAUUCUAAAAAAGCAUAAGGUAAACAAAAACAAGUGUUUAUUGUUGAAAUUAAAUAAAAUGUUGCCUAUAAAUUUAAUAAUUUUCGACGAACAAGAACGUAGGGAUCAUUACGGCUGCUUCGUGAAGAAGGUAGAUUUUUAAGGGAUAGAAGUGAUUAUUUUGGUUUGCCGGAUUUACGAUUCAUAGAGUUGUUUAGAUUAAAUAAAGAUUUAUUCCAUUACCUUUUUAAUGAAUUGCAACCGUUGAUGGAUAACAUUAUAUAUAU